GAGGGUAUAGCUCAGUGGUAGAGCAUGUGCUUAGCAUGCAUGAGGUCCUGGGUUCAAUCCCCAAUAUCUCCG
This 72-nucleotide transfer RNA is filed under the name Camelus bactrianus (Bactrian camel). It matches the Rfam family "tRNA". Rfam says of the family: Transfer RNA (tRNA) molecules are approximately 80 nucleotides in length. Their secondary structure includes four short double-helical elements and three loops (D, anti-codon, and T loops). Lineage: Eukaryota; Metazoa; Chordata; Mammalia; Artiodactyla; Camelidae. RNAcentral also lists the same sequence under 1 other name. The record is from Rfam by way of RNAcentral.